AAAAAAUCGAAAAAAUGUCUUCAGAAAGGGCAAAUCGCCAUCAAAGGAGGCCAUCUCAGAGCUUCAAUUUUGUUUUGCCGGAGAACAUUUCGUUAGCUGAUCCAGUGGACGGCGAUUCCGACAAUGGCGCCGGUGCCGGCGAGCAAAAUAAGGUUGUUACGCCGCCGCCUGCAAAUUCGAAAUCUGGACUCGGCCGUACUGCUAGCGGAGUUUCAUUGCCGCCGCUGCCGGUGGAGAUGUCGUCGGAGAAGGAGGGAACGUCACGACGUCAAGGAUGAACCUAAGAAAUUUUUUUUAUGAAAUUGAUUUUUUUUAGUUAAUUACUUUGUUUUUUUUGUUUUUUUUGCUUUGUGAUCAGUUGAUA
This 364-nucleotide unclassified non-coding RNA is filed under the name Hevea brasiliensis (rubber tree). Lineage: Eukaryota; Viridiplantae; Streptophyta; Magnoliopsida; Malpighiales; Euphorbiaceae. The record is from RNAcentral.